CAUACAGACUUGAUUCCUGGUAGAGCCCUACCCUGAGAAUCAGUGUGGUUUAGUAAAACCACACUGGCGAUACAGUAUAGCUGAGUCUUGUUAGGCCUGGGUUUGAAUCUGGACCCUUAUAAUGAGCUGCCGUACAACCUUGGGUAAGUGAUUUUAACCCUUGGGGCUUUAGCUUCUGUCAUCUGUGACAGAGAGAGAUACUAGCAGCUGCCCUCCAGAGCUGCAUCUUAUCCUUUCUCUCUCCCCCUCUCCCUCAAACCUACUUAUUUUAGCUGAGGCCCUUGGCCUCAUUUGUAAGCCUGGACUCUGGCCUGCACCAGCUGGGAUUCUUUAAUUGUUAACUGGCUAAUAAAAUAAUAGAAAUUUAUUGG
This 371-nucleotide long non-coding RNA is filed under the name Homo sapiens (human). Its description in RNAcentral is "non-protein coding lnc-CHP2-2:1". Lineage: Eukaryota; Metazoa; Chordata; Mammalia; Primates; Hominidae. The record is from RNAcentral.